GACGAACGCUGGCGGCGUGCUUAACACAUGCAAGUCGAACGGAAAGGCCCGGCUUUUGUGGGGUGCUCGUGUGGGGCACGGGUGAGUAACACGUGAGUAACUUGCACUUGUCUUUGGGAUAACUUCAGGAAACUGGGGCUAAUAUCGGGGAUGAGCUCCUGCUGCGUGGUGGGGGUUGGAAAGAUUCGGCGGUUGUGGAUGGACUCGCGGCAUAUCAGCUUGUUGGUGUGGUAGUGGCUGUCCAAGGCUUUGACGGGUAGCCGGCCUGGGAGGGUGACCGGCGACAUUGGGACUGAGAGACGGACCAGACUCCUACGGGAGGCAGCAGUGGGGAAUAUUACAGAAUGGCCGGAAGCCUGAUGCAGCGACGCCGCGUGCGGGAAGACGGCCUUCGGGUUGUAAACCGCUUUGGCCUGUGACGAAGCGUGAGUGACGGUACUGGGUAAAAAAGCACCGGCUAACUACGUG
Molecule: ribosomal RNA, 468 nt
Filed under: uncultured bacterium
Lineage: Bacteria
Description: partial 16S ribosomal RNA
Rfam family: Bacterial small subunit ribosomal RNA
Source: RNAcentral